This 497-nucleotide ribosomal RNA is filed under the name uncultured bacterium. Its description in RNAcentral is "partial 16S ribosomal RNA". It matches the Rfam family "Bacterial small subunit ribosomal RNA", at positions 28 to 507 of the family's 1533-position model. The record is from RNAcentral.
GAUGAACGCUGGCGGCGUGCCUAAUACAUGCAAGUCGAGCGAACAGACGAGGAGCUUGCUCCUCUGACGUUAGCGGCGGACGGGUGAGUAACACGUGGAUAACCUACCUAUAAGACUGGGAUAACUUCGGGAAACCGGAGCUAAUACCGGAUAAUAUAUUGAACCGCAUGGUUCAAUAGUGAAAGACGGUUUUGCUGUCACUUAUAGAUGGAUCCGCGCCGCAUUAGCUAGUUGGUAAGGUAACGGCUUACCAAGGCAACGAUGCGUAGCCGACCUGAGAGGGUGAUCGGCCACCUGGUAACUGAGACACGGUACAGACUCCUACGGGAGGCAGCAGUAGGGAAUCUUCCGCAAUGGGCGAAAGCCUGACGGAGCAACGCCGCGUGAGUGAUGAAGGUCUUCGGAUCGUAAAACUCUGUUAUUAGGGAAGAACAAAUGUGUAAGUAACUAUGCACGUCUUGACGGUACCUAAUCAGAAAGCCACGGCUAACUACGUG